Long non-coding RNA from Tachysurus vachellii, 459 nucleotides. RefSeq lists it as uncharacterized. The record is from RefSeq and is a predicted model, not a curated record. Lineage: Eukaryota; Metazoa; Chordata; Actinopteri; Siluriformes; Bagridae. The transcript is spliced from 3 exons.
GAAUAACAGCUGCUGCGGUACGGAUUUGAGUUUUUUUCGGAUUAAAUGAUAACGAAAUUAUUUUUUACUCAUUUAAACGUUUAAUAAUUAUAAAAAAAAUAAUAAAAAUAACGAUAUGGAAGCAGGACGUGGCUGAGGAGGAUUGAUGGAGACGACAAGAAAGCAAGUUGGAGGGCAAAGUAACGUUAGCUGAAGUGGAGACAAGAGGAUACAUACAUAUAUACAUCUAUUAGAUGCUUUACGCUACCUGACUCUCCUCCUGAAACUAUGGCGUGCCGGAGCCCUGUGUUGAAGCAAAAAGUUAACAAGAAUGGGGAGUUUCUGUCUUUCAAGCAAGCUCGCUCUCUGUGUGUGUGUGUGUGUGUGUGUGUGUGUGUGUGUGUGUAAUAUGCUUUUCAGGUGGUGGUGUAGCAGCACAGAAUGGUUUGUGGUGUGAUACAGAGAUGCAGGCCGUACUGU